GAAUGCAUUACUUGCACUAACAUUCGGGAAAUCCAAUGAACACAAAAAACAUUAGAAUUAUUCCGAUACCUCAGGCGAAUGGCUCUACAUGGAAAAUCUUAUGUAAUUGGACUUACAACCAGCAAGUAGAUGAAAUGAACAGAAUACAAAUACCCGUUGUACUAUACACAAAUAACAUGGAAACACAGAUGAAAUCGAACUUAUGAUUGAAGCUACUUUGUAAGUUGUACUGAUCAGUACUUUGUAAAAAAAAAUCUAAACUUGUCAUAUCCUCGAGUUUGAACUGAUGUAAAUAAUUUUUGCCAAAUUGCUCCAGGUUUCUGUAUGGUACGCACACCACCUUGAUGAGCCAAUGUACAAGUUCAUAUCACUUGAACUAAUUGGAGAAUAAUAUGCGAGCUUAUAGCAUUUGAUCACUUGAACUUAUAGCAAUAGAAACAAGAAAUGUGUACGGCCUCCGACCUGUGGAAAUUAUAAGAAAUUUGUAAAUACUAGUACCGCAACCAACAUUUAUAAAUACUAGUGAACUUGAACUUAUGGUCUCUCGAGAUCUGAUCUGAUUGUGUUACAAGCAUACACACAAAAAUAUUUAGAAGAAAAUGGCUAUAUCUCUGAUGCAAACUUAAUUUUAGUAGCAAAUGUUUCAUCUUUUGACACAUCAAAACCACUAGCUACAAUUUUUUUGCUUCCAAUCUUUGAACUGAGCAAAAUUAUGAUUUUUUUUGCUCCCAACCUCCUGCAUAUAUAUUUUCGAAGUGAUAUUUUUCUUUCAUUGAACUGAUCUAAUUUUUGUAUUUCAAUUGUUUUAAAAUAUGUAGUUGAACUUAUAGAUUUCCAUUUGUAAUUUUUGCUCUUAUAAAUAUCCUGUGUGUUUGUUUACGUACUAAAAACAGAAUAAAUACUGAACUUAACGGAAACAACAAUACUUCCUACUUGUCCCAAGACACUCGUUGAACGUGUGGCGGCGUGCACCAGUGCCGGCAAAAGCUCGUACGUGAAGGAGCGUGGCAGGAGGUGCUCGGACAGAUAAGGGAGGAAUAGUUGGACUGAUGUGAGCCCCAUACUUGGAUGAGGACCGGAGGAAGUAGUCCGUGUGGGCGGCGGGGGCUGCCUGUAGAACUGAGCUUCUUUUUUCUUGCAAUCCGUCCAACGUCCCUCGUGCUGCAGUACAGAGAGAAACAAAUUAAGAAGUAGCAAUCAUAUCAUCAUAGACAAAAGAACUUGCAGCUGCUGCUAUGUGUAUGGAUUGCAUGUUUUUAUUCUCCUCAUUGCCUGCAUUGUGUACUUCACCCUUAGCCUGCUUGGUAUCCUUUGUGCUAGUUCAGUAGCCGCUCGCCGCGCACACCUGCUCGAUGGGAAUUUACACAAACUGUUUGGAAUUAGGAAUUGAACUUUAGUAAAAUUAGAAACUGAACUGAAAAAGAAUUAGAAAUUGAAGGAAAAUAAAAUAAGAAACCGAGUGACCUAAAAAUAAGAAUGAACUGAACUAAAAUUGGAAAUUGAACUGAAUAAAAAUUAAGAUGUUGUCGAUGUAAGAAGGGCUUCUCUUUUGCAGGUAGCUUAUGCGCCGUCGGCUAGCUUUGGUUGUAAGCGUCUGUGUGGUUUACACCUACCUACUAAGGAUGAUCAAACACUAUAUUUGUGAGUUCUAGAAAUCGGGAGGAAAUCAUCUCUCAUAAAAGAAAGAAACAGAUAUGUUGAGACUUGGUUUUCAGUUCACACCACUUAAGCUAGUCGUACUGAAGUACUUGUGUUCCUCUCACUCACUUAUACUACAUGUUGAUGCUUGCCAUCUCGUUCGUUACAUACUACAUAGGCAGAGGCUACGCGUACUGUGGUCAAAUCAAAUAAUACAAGACUCUAUACGUAUCAGACCUGACUGAGGAUGCUGCCGGUCUUCUUGUCUUUGUCAGUGAAGAGGCAGUCCUCUGCAGUACGCACGCAACAAAUUAAAAUAAGAAAUGAAACUACACUGAACUAAAAAUAAGCUACAAAUUUCAAUCAAUUCGAUAUUCAUCAGCUACAAAUUAAAAUAAGAGUCCUUGGUACGAGGAAUCAGCUACAAAUUUCAAUCAAUUCGAUAUUUAUCAGUACUAGCACGGCUAGAAAAGUCCAGAACUGUAGCAGCUGUCACUGAACUUGCAUAUUUUUUUCUUUGAGCUUAUUUAGGAGAUAUAUCAAAUUUCAUAGGCAUUUUGACAAGAACUUAUAGAGCAUCAUUUGUUUUUUACACAGAAGCAGCAUGAGAUUGAAUGAUAGCAGCAUCAACACAAGAUUCUCCUCUUUUUUUGUACAGGAUGCUUAAAAAAACAAGCACAUAGGUGUAGCUAAAAGCACACAGAUAGUAGUGUUACUUACAGGAAGAUAUUCCUCUUCUCUAUACCUAUUCCAAGUGCCUCAAGUUGUUCUCCCGUCGGUAUAGGCGCGUACUGACGGUUCGGAUCAUAGUUCGUCUCUCCAAACAUAGGAACAUAACUACAGGGUAAGCAUGCCUCGUAUUAGGACUCGAGGAUGCACAUGAUACUAGCAAAGAAAAAACAUAGCAUUGCAGGUACCGGCGUGGAAUGAAGUUGCUGGACAGACCGGUAAGGCCAAUGUAUUCAUCCUACUACUAUUUUCUGUCCUCCUAGCUGAAGGUAGUUGGUGUAGACCACCCCGACUGAAACCUUGUUCGCAUUUCACCGUCCAUGACGUGGCUGCUACUCCUACACUGCCUCUGCCAAUUUUUUGAUUAACUCCCAUUUGAAGAAACAUGUUUUAACAAUAUUUUUCCCACCAAAAGUGUGAAGAAAUGCUACCUAGUUUUCACAUAUAUUUGCUAGAACAAGUUAAGAAGUACAAG
RNAcentral lists this long non-coding RNA (2842 nucleotides) under Triticum aestivum (bread wheat). RNAcentral describes it as "long non-coding RNA (TAES_LNC027445)". The record is from RNAcentral. Lineage: Eukaryota; Viridiplantae; Streptophyta; Magnoliopsida; Poales; Poaceae.